CGGGAUUUAGUAGACAGAAGCCUCGGUGGAAGAUUACUAAUGAGAGUGGCGAACGGGUGAGUAACGCGUGAGCAACCUGCCUAUGACAGUGGGAUAGCCUCGGGGAACCGGGAUUAAUACCGCAUAAAAUCGUAGAAACACAUGUUUCAACGGUCAAAGAUUUAUCGGUCAUAGAUGGGCUCGCGUCUGAUUAGCUAGUUGGUGAGAUAACAGCCCACCAAGGCGACGAUCAGUAGCCGGUCUGAGAGGAUGAACGGCCACAUUGGAACUGAGACACGGUCCAAACUCCUACGGGAGGCAGCAGUGGGGAAUAUUGCACAAUGGGGGAAACCCUGAUGCAGCGACGCCGCGUGAACGAAGAAGGUAUUCGUAUCGUAAAGUUCUGUCCUAUGGGAAGAUAAUGACAGUACCGUAGAAGAAAGCUCCGGCUAAAUACGUGCCAGCAGCCGCGGUAAUACGUAUGGAGCGAGCGUUGUCCGGAAUUAUUGGGCGUAAAGGGUACGCAGGCGGUUUAAUAAGUCGAAUGUUAAAGAUCGGGGCUCAACCCCGUAAAGCAUUGGAAACUGAUAAACUUGAGUAGUGGAGAGGAAAGUGGAAUUCCUAGUGUAGUGGUGAAAUACGUAGAUAUUAGGAGGAAUACCAGUAGCGAAGGCGACUUUCUGGACACAAACUGACGCUGAGGUACGAAAGCGUGGGGAGCAAACA
RNAcentral lists this ribosomal RNA (705 nucleotides) under uncultured Eubacteriales bacterium. RNAcentral describes it as "bacterial SSU rRNA". It matches the Rfam family "Bacterial small subunit ribosomal RNA", at positions 63 to 774 of the family's 1533-position model. The record is from RNAcentral. Lineage: Bacteria; Bacillati; Bacillota; Clostridia; Eubacteriales.